RNAcentral lists this ribosomal RNA (832 nucleotides) under Mycobacterium sp. RS-47. Its description in RNAcentral is "bacterial SSU rRNA". It matches the Rfam family "Bacterial small subunit ribosomal RNA", at positions 48 to 895 of the family's 1533-position model. The record is from RNAcentral. Lineage: Bacteria; Bacillati; Actinomycetota; Actinomycetes; Mycobacteriales; Mycobacteriaceae.
UUAACACAUGCAAGUCGAACGGAAAGGCCCUUCGGGGUACUCGAGUGGCGAACGGGUGAGUAACACGUGGGUGAUCUGCCCUGCACUUUGGGAUAAGCCUGGGAAACUGGGUCUAAUACCGAAUAGGACUACGGCCUUCAUGGGUUGUGGUGGAAAGCUUUUGCGGUGUGGGAUGGGCCCGCGGCCUAUCAGCUUGUUGGUGGGGUAAUGGCCUACCAAGGCGACGACGGGUAGCCGGCCUGAGAGGGUGACCGGCCACACUGGGACUGAGAUACGGCCCAGACUCCUACGGGAGGCAGCAGUGGGGAAUAUUGCACAAUGGGCGCAAGCCUGAUGCAGCGACGCCGCGUGAGGGAUGACGGCCUUCGGGUUGUAAACCUCUUUCAGCAGGGACGAAGCGCAAGUGACGGUACCUGUAGAAGAAGGACCGGCCAACUACGUGCCAGCAGCCGCGGUAAUACGUAGGGUCCGAGCGUUGUCCGGAAUUACUGGGCGUAAAGAGCUCGUAGGUGGUUUGUCGCGUUGUUCGUGAAAACUCACAGCUCAACUGUGGGCGUGCGGGCGAUACGGGCAGACUUGAGUACUGCAGGGGAGACUGGAAUUCCUGGUGUAGCGGUGGAAUGCGCAGAUAUCAGGAGGAACACCGGUGGCGAAGGCGGGUCUCUGGGCAGUAACUGACGCUGAGGAGCGAAAGCGUGGGGAGCGAACAGGAUUAGAUACCCUGGUAGUCCACGCCGUAAACGGUGGGUACUAGGUGUGGGUUUCCUUCCUUGGGAUCCGUGCCGUAGCUAACGCAUUAAGUACCCCGCCUGGGGAGUACGGCCGCAAGGCU